CCUACGGGAGACUGCAGUUGGGGAUAUUGCACAAUGGGGGGAACCCUGAUGCAGCGACGCCGCGUGGGUGAAGGAGUAUUUCGGUAUGUAAAGCCCUAUCGGCAGGGAAGAAUUUAGACGGUACCUGACUAAGAAGCCCCGGCUAACUACGUGCCAGCAGCCGCGGUAAUACGUAGGGGGCAAGCGUUAUCCGGAUUCACUGGGUGUAAAGGGAGCGUAGACGGCCAGGCAAGCCUGGAGUGAAAGCCCGGGGCCCAACCCCGGGACUGCUCGGGGAACUGUCCGGCGGGAGUGCGGGAGGGGCAGGCGGAAUGCCUGGUGGAGCGGUGAAAUGCGUAGAUAUCAGGAGGAACACCGGCGGCGAAGGCGGCCUGCUGGACCGCGACUGACGUUGAGGCUCGAAAGCGUGGGGAGCGAACAGGAUUAGAUACCCCUGUAGUC
Molecule: ribosomal RNA, 441 nt
Filed under: uncultured bacterium
Lineage: Bacteria
Description: partial 16S ribosomal RNA
Rfam family: Bacterial small subunit ribosomal RNA
Source: RNAcentral